This is a long non-coding RNA of Gossypium raimondii (Peruvian cotton), 899 nucleotides long. RefSeq lists it as uncharacterized. The transcript has 3 exons. NCBI's taxonomy places the organism in Eukaryota, Viridiplantae, Streptophyta, Magnoliopsida, Malvales, Malvaceae. The record is from RefSeq and is a predicted model, not a curated record.
UUGAAUCCUGUUCCCCCUUAAUGUCAUUGAUAACUCGAGAAACUCCCAAAUUUUUGUUUCUAAAUAUCUCGCCAAUGAUUCUAAAUCUGGAUCCACUAGUCGCACCACUCUUCAAUCCUCCAACCACGCCAUUCUCCAAACCACUGCUAGUUUUCUUGACCAUAUAAGCCUUCCGCCGCUAUCUAUGCUUGACAAUCAUCCAAGGACCGAAGCAUUCUUCCUGCAGUUGCCCCUAUAGUCUCGGUUCUACACCUCGUGAUUUUUCCUCCCCCCUCCAGUGUUGUUUCCUGGCUUGACUUAUGUGGACAUUCUUCCUGGGAAUUCCCAAACCUUCCACAAUCGAGGCAAACCAUGGGAUGACAUUGGUCUGACGAGAAGGUUGGCAUCCACUAUUGCACAGUGAGAUAAUGUCCAAAUCAUCCAGGGACCCCCGGACAAAGCAUUAAGAUCGAAGUCUUCGUCCUUCUAAUGAUUCAUUGUUCCAACCGUAGUACCCAUUAACUUUUCUUUCCACGUCACAAAAGCUGUGUUAAUAGCAUCCACUUUCAUGCCCUUGUCAUCCACCGCGGGAUUGUCAAGAUCUGGCGGCUUUGCCUACCGGCAUCGUACCUUCUUGAGUGAGUGUCUUAUGCCCUCUCCUGGAGACGUUAACAUCUUUUUUUUCAACCUAGAAACACAGAGUCAUAACUUAAUUCUUUAAGUUCCAUAUUCAUGAUAAUAAGAUAGUGACAUAAUAUUUCCACAAUAUUAACUAUUUUCAUUUAUAGCGUUGAUGUUAAAGAGAAUUAAAUAUGAUUUAGGUUUUGAGCAUUAAAAUUGAAAUUAAAAUAAUAGAGUUGGUAGUGGUACAAAAUGCAUGUGCCUUCAAUUUUCAUAAUCUUAAAGACAUCUUUUCCUUA